Molecule: non-coding RNA, 633 nt
Organism: Cyanistes caeruleus (blue tit)
Lineage: Eukaryota; Metazoa; Chordata; Aves; Passeriformes; Paridae
Source: RefSeq, a predicted model, not a curated record
UGCUUCCGGAGGAUUUCUACCCGGAGAAGACAGACCCUGAGCAGAUCCUGUGGGUGUCCUGGGCAGUCCUGCUGGUCGGCGUGCUCAUCAUAGGCAUGGCCAUGGGAUGGGCCCUUGAGAGAAGAUUUCAGAGAUGCUGGAAAGAGCGGAAUCUCCGGAGCCCUUCAGGCCGUGCAGAGCCCCGCCGCCAUCGAAGACACGGCUGUCCAAAGAAGUUGAUGCAGCUGCUGAGGCACAACCGUGACUUGAUGCGGUUGUGCCUUCGCUCUCAGCCGAGACCAACAACCAAGACGGCGGCAAAAGAGGGCAUUGGCAGGAGACUCCGCACCUCCCCGCAGCUCUGACCUCCAGUGCGGCACUCUGUCUUCAGAACAUUACGGGGAAUGUGUGACCAGUGCCCAGCCCAGGCACUGCGACGUUCCCCAUCUUAGAAGUUAGCCACACCCCUGUUGUUAGUUGUAGGAUUCCCCACCACGUUUCCCCCAAGAAGUUGACCUUUCCCUUAGUGUUCAAUUCUAAACAGUUGAAGUAUUGAAGUAUUUUAGGCUUAAGAUUCUUACCCCAUAGUCUUCAAGUAACGUUGUAGUGUAGAUUUUAGAAGUAGUCAAGUGAAUAAAGUUCACGUUUUCUACA